GCUGGCGGCGUGCUUAACACAUGCAAGUCGAACGGAAAGGCCCCGCUUUUGUGGGGUGCUCGAGUGGCGAACGGGUGAGUAACACGUGAGUAACCUGCCCUUGACUUUGGGAUAACUUCAGGAAACUGGGGCUAAUACCGGAUAGGAGCUCCUGCUGCAUGGUGGGGGUUGGAAAGUUUCGGCGGUUGGGGAUGGACUCGCGGCUUAUCAGCUUGUUGGUGGGGUAGUGGCUUACCAAGGCUUUGACGGGUAGCCGGCCUGAGAGGGUGACCGGCCACAUUGGGACUGAGAUACGGCCCAGACUCCUACGGGAGGCAGCAGUGGGGAAUAUUGCACAAUGGGCGGAAGCCUGAUGCAGCAACGCCGCGUGCGGGAUGACGGCCUUCGGGUUGUAAACCGCUUUCGCCUGUGACGAAGCGUGAGUGACGGUAAUGGGUAAAGAAGCACCGGCUAACUACGUGCCAGCAGCCGCGGUGAUACGUAGGGUGCGAGCGUUGUCCGGAUUUAUUGGGCGUAAAGGGCUCGUAGGUGGUUGAUCGCGUCGGAAGUGUAAUCUUGGGGCUUAACCCUGAGCGUGCUUUCGAUACGGGUUGACUUGAGGAAGGUAGGGGAGAAUGGAAUUCCUGGUGGAGCGGUGGAAUGCGCAGAUAUCAGGAGGAACACCAGUGGCGAAGGCGGUUCUCUGGGCCUUUCCUGACGCUGAGGAGCGAAAGCGUGGGGAGCGAACAGGCUUAGAUACCCUGGUAGUCCACGCUGUAAACGGUGGGUACUAGGUGUGGGGUCCAUUCCACGGGUUCCGUGCCGUAGCUAACGCUUUAAGUACCCCGCCUGGGGAGUACGGCCGCGAGGCUAAAACUCAAAGGAAUUGACGGGGCCCCGCACAAGCGGCGGAGCAUGCGGAUUAAUUCGAUGCAACGCGUAGAACCUUACCUGGGUUUGACAUGGAUCGGGAGUGCUCAGAGAUGGGUGUGCCUCUUUUGGGGUCGGUUCACAGGUGGUGCAUGGCUGUCGUCAGCUCGUGUCGUGAGAUGUUGGGUUAAGUCCCGCAACGAGCGCAACCCUUGUUCACUGUUGCCAGCACGUUAUGGUGGGGACUCAGUGGAGACCGCCGGGGUCAACUCGGAGGAAGGUGGGGAUGACGUCAAGUCAUCAUGCCCCUUAUGUCCAGGGCUUCACGCAUGCUACAAUGGCUGGUACAGAGAGUGGCGAGCCUGUGAGGGUGAGCGAAUCUCGGAAAGCCGGUCUCAGUUCGGAUUGGGGUCUGCAACUCGACCUCAUGAAGUCGGAGUCGCUAGUAAUCGCAGAUCAGCAACGCUGCGGUGAAUACGUUCCCGGGGCUUGUACACACCGCCCGUCAAGUCAUGAAAGUUGGUAACACCCGAAGCCGGUGGCCUAACCGUUGUGGGGGAGCCGUCGAAGGUGGGACUGGUG
RNAcentral lists this ribosomal RNA (1431 nucleotides) under uncultured organism. RNAcentral describes it as "16S ribosomal RNA". It matches the Rfam family "Bacterial small subunit ribosomal RNA". The record is from RNAcentral.